RNAcentral lists this long non-coding RNA (897 nucleotides) under Pongo abelii (Sumatran orangutan). RNAcentral describes it as "lincRNA". Lineage: Eukaryota; Metazoa; Chordata; Mammalia; Primates; Hominidae. The record is from RNAcentral.
GAUGCUUUAUCCUUUGACAUUAAGAAUGCUGUUUGCAGAAGUAACAUUCCUUUGAACACUCAGCUUUCUGAAAUGGUGUCCCACCACAAGGACUGGAGAAGGAUCUUGCUUUCUUUUGUAUGUUUGCAAAGAAUAAAUAGUACACUUCCUUGAUCCGUGGUUCCUAAAGUGUGAUUCCCAACAAGCAGCAUCAGGAUCACCUGGAAACUUGAUAGAAAUAUAAAUUCUACAGUCCCUCCUUGGAGCUACAGAUUCAGAAAUUCUGAAGUUUAAUUCCAGCAAUUGGUUAUAAUAAGCUCUCUAGGUGAUUCUGACUCACACCAAGGUAAACCUCAGGUUCUCCUCCUGCCUUUUGCUAAGUAUAUGUCUUGAUGACAAGCCUUCUGCUAAUGAGCUGUGUUUCUGGACCGAUCAUGGUAGAAGUCAAUUGAAGUGUCCCUCACUUGGGGUUUCUUAAGGCUGCACUGAUGAGGAAACUGAAACAGAAAAUCCAGAGUAAAUUCCACCAGGCCACACAGCAAGGUCUGAUAGAGCCAGGAGAGACUUUAUGAAAUCCAGACUCUCACACUAAUGCUCUAUCAGCUAGACCUCCAUGUGAGUCUCCCCAAUGUAGGUAGGAAGCACUUUCCCUAAAAUGCUCAUAAAGCAAAUCAGAGCAAUGCUUCAUUUCAUGUGAUUUCUAAUUUGAAAUGCAAACAAUUGCCAAUUUGUUUGACUUGUAUUUAUAAUUAUUUCCUUGUGAAUUACUCAUCACUAAAUGCUUUAUAAAUAUUUUCUCUUUUUUUUCUCAAUGUCUAUGGAAUGAUCACAGCAUAGAAAAUGUUGGCUUUCAAGGAUUUAUUAAUAUCUCCUUUUGAAAUAGCAUGUAUUUGUAAGACAGUAUAAAAUCACUUUAAA